AGCGCAGGCGGACCGGCAAGUUGGAAGUGAAAACUAUGGGCUCAACCCAUAAAUUGCUUUCAAAACUGCUGGCCUUGAGUAGUGCAGAGGUAGGUGGAACUCCCGGUGUAGCGGUGGAAUGCGUAGAUAUCGGGAGGAACACCUGUGGCGAAGGCGGCUUUCUGGGUCACAACUGACGCUGAGGCGCGAAAGCUAGGGGAGCGAACGG
Molecule: ribosomal RNA, 208 nt
Filed under: uncultured bacterium
Lineage: Bacteria
Description: partial 16S ribosomal RNA
Rfam family: Bacterial small subunit ribosomal RNA
Source: RNAcentral